AGUAACGCGUGAGUAACCUGCCUUUCAGAGGGGGAGUAACGUUCUGAAAAGAAACGCUAAUACCGCAUGAGACUACAGAGCUGCAUGGCUCAGUGGUCAAAGGAAGCAAUCCGCUGAAAGAUGGACUCGCGUCCGAUUAGAUAGUAGGCGGGGUAACGGCCCACCUAGUCGACGAUCGGUAGCCGGACUGAGAGGUUGAACGGCCACAUUGGGACUGAGACACGGCCCAGACUCCUACGGGAGGCAGCAUG
RNAcentral lists this ribosomal RNA (251 nucleotides) under uncultured bacterium. Its description in RNAcentral is "partial 16S ribosomal RNA". It matches the Rfam family "Bacterial small subunit ribosomal RNA", at positions 109 to 353 of the family's 1533-position model. The record is from RNAcentral.